Molecule: long non-coding RNA, 1669 nt
Organism: Carassius gibelio (silver crucian carp)
Lineage: Eukaryota; Metazoa; Chordata; Actinopteri; Cypriniformes; Cyprinidae
Exons: 3
Source: RefSeq, a predicted model, not a curated record
CAAAUUUUGUCAUGGCGCCAUGGAAACGCCCUUUAACAAAAACUCAAGAUCUCCAAAAGUUAACAUUGCACAGGCCUUUAGAUUAGACUGACCACAAAAUAUAUCUUAAUCUAAAAAAAAAUUAUAGGAGUAGUUUGUUGCAGCGUAAAACAUGUCACUUCCUGUUGCCAAUAGGUGGCGCUAUGACUAUAACUGAAUGUGGGCAUGUAGAUCUGUUAAGGGCAGAAGUUUUAUCUAACAUGUGAAGUUUGGGGCAGAUUGGACAUUGUAUGUCUGAGUUACAGCAACUUCCUUUUUCAUGGCGAAACAUCGAAAUUUGUCAGGCCACCAUGGACACGCCCUUUAACGAAAUCUAAAGAUCUUCGCAAUUUAACAUCGCAAAGGGCUUAAGAUUACACUGACCAGGUUUGGUGUUGAUCUGAAUAAAUCUCUAGGAGGAGUUCGUUAAAGUACAACCCCUGAAAAUGGCAAAAACAACGCCAAUAUUGCAGAGAAAAUUCUAAAUAACCGACUUCCUGUUGGGAUUCGGAUUUCGUACCAAGAGACUUUUUUGUAGGUAUUGGUGUGUUACAUGUGUAUACCGAUUUUUGUACAUGUACGUGAAACAUAGCUCGAGGCGCACUCUGUUGAAAGUGUAUAGGUGGCGCUAUCGAGCCAUUUUGCCACACCUGAUGGAAUUUUGGCCUUCAGAUGUGUUCAGGCCAGGACUCUUAUCACACAUGUGCAGUUUGGGGAAGAUCGGACAUUUUAUGCCUGAGUUAUAACAUCUUUUAUUCCCAUGGCGAGACAUCGAACUUUGUGACGGCGCCAUGGACACGCCUUUUAACGAAAACUCAAGAUCUUCACAACUUAACAUCGCACAGGCCUUUAGAUUAGACUGACCACAAAAAAGACAUUGAUGUCAUAAAAUUUCUAGGAGUAGUUCUUCGCACCAUAAAAUAUGACACUUCCUGUUGCCAAUAGGUGGCGCUAUGACUAUAACUGCAUAUGGGCAUGUCAAUCUAUUCUGUUCCAGAGUCUUAUCAACCAUGUGAAGUUUGGGGUAGAUUGGACAUUGUAUGUCUGAGUUAUAGCAACUUCAUUUUUCAUGGCGAGUCAUCGAAAUUCGCCAGGCCGCCACGGACACGCCCUUCAACGAAAACUCAAAAUCUUCGCAAUUUAACAUCGCAAAGGCCUUUAGAUUAGGCAUACCAAAUUUGGUGUUGAUUUGAAGAAAUCUCUAGGAGGAGUUCGUUAAAAUACAACGCAUGGAAAUGGCAAAAAUGACACAAAAUUUGCUCAUAAUAUUAAAAAUAACUGACUUCCGGUUGGGUUUAGAAUUUUGCUCCAAGAGUCUUUUUUGUAGGUAUUGAUGUGUUACAUGUGUGUACCGAUUUUCAUACAUGUACGUGAAAUGUAACUCGAGGCGCACACCGCUGAACGUGCAUAGGUGGCGCUGUCGAGCCAUUUUACCACGCCCACUUCUGAAACCCAUAUCAGACGUAAAUUUUCGCCAGUUCGGAGGCGUGUGCAAAAUUUGGUGACUUUUUGAGCAUGUUUAGGCCCUCAAAAAUGCGAUUCAUUUUGGAGAAGCGGAAUAAUAAUAAUAAUAAACGGAGCAAUUCCAAUAGGGUCCUCACACCAUCGGUGCUCGGGCCCUAAUAAUAAUAAUAAUAAUAAUAAACGGAGC